Long non-coding RNA from Pan troglodytes (chimpanzee), 3783 nucleotides. RefSeq lists it as uncharacterized. The record is from RefSeq and is a predicted model, not a curated record. Lineage: Eukaryota; Metazoa; Chordata; Mammalia; Primates; Hominidae. The transcript is spliced from 3 exons.
ACUCCCAAAAUAUAUUUUACACUGGCCAAAAAGAAAAAAAAAACCCUCUAAAUUGUUUAAGGACAAACGUAUUUCUAAAAAUUUAUUUUUCAAUUGUUACAUUUCUCAGUGUAUUCAUUUGCUGGAGCUGGUGUACCAAAGUACCACGUACUGGGUGACUCAAACAACAGAACCGCAUUGUCUUACAGUCCAGAUGCCCAAGAUGAAGCCAUCCACAGGGUGGUGGUGCCUUCUCAAAACAAUGAGAGGGACUCUAUUUCACGCCUUUCUAUUUCUGGUGGUUUGCUGGUGAUCUUUGGCAUACUUGGUUUGCAAAAGCAUCAUUCCCAUUGUUGCCUUUAUCUUCAUAUGGUGUUCUCCCCUGUGUGGUACCUGUGUCCAAAUCAUUUCUUCUUAAAACACCAGUCAUGUUGGAUUAGGGGCCCAGCCUACUCCAGCAUGGCCUCAUCUUAACUAACUAUAGUUGCAAUGAUCCUGUUUCCAAAAAGAUCACAUUCUGAGGUACUGGGUGUUGGGAUGUCAACAUAUGUAUUUUGAAGGGAUAAAAUUCAAGCCAUAAAAAUCAGCAACUUCAUAUAUAUAUUUCCCUAACUUACUUUGUUUUAUUUUCCAGGUCAUUGACUAACAACAUCAACAAUGAAAUGAAUCUGAGAAAACAGGAAAUUGAGAGCAAGAGAAAAAAGUGUUAAUUAUACUGAUUUUGUGUAAGACCCCUUUGAACACAUUUUUAAAAAAUCAAAUAGAAGGUGCCCAGGUCCACUGUGCCUUGUGGAUAUUUGUCUUGUAUAUCCUAGAGAUCUACGCAUUCAUGUGGGAAUUGAAAAGGACCCACAUUUUACUAGAAGCAUCGUUCAUUUUUGCCUCAAAACAAACAAUGCCCACAUGUCAGAAGAACUUUCACAAUUCACAGGAACAGUGACCUAAUUAACCAACCAUAAAAUUGCCAAAUCCCUACUUCUCAUUGUUUAAUAUGCUUAGAAAACCCAUUCAAAUUGUGAAUUAUCAAGUGAGCUUACACUGAUAAAUAGAUCCAAUAUUUAGGAAUUUUUAAAUCUUCCAUUCCUUUUUUUUUUGUCUUUUUAAAAAUAGAACAUUAGAAUAUGUCCUCCAGGUUUUAGAGAUGGGGGAGACAUGCUUCCCUUUAUUUCUCAGUAAUUCAGCCAAAAAAAAUCUGGAGAGAAUGCAAAGGCAGCUACUGGAAACGUUGAAAAGUAGACGUGAGCCCAUCAUCAGGGAAGAGCGAGAGAAUCUGAAAUCUACUCGAAAAAGUGAGUUUCAUACUUAGUGGGUCUUGUGUUCCUAUCCUAACUCGACACAGCCUGAAACUUGGAAGUGAGCAUGAUGGAGUGGAUACAGUGAGAUGCAGAAGAAAUCCUCCAGUUUGGGCUGGAAGGGAAAAAAGAGACCCCCUAAAACUCAGACAGUGGAAGAAAUUCCUGGUGUUUUUUCUUCUCUUUUUCUCUGUUCUUCCACAUAGCAAUUUAGUAUUGACUACAGCAUCUCUGUUACAAUGAUAGCACCGAAAUGUUGUAACCAUAUGGCCUGCAAAGCCAAAAAUAUUUAUCUGACCAUCUACAGGAAAAGUUUGCUGAUCUGGAUGAAAUAUUCUGAUAUUAAAUAUUCCAUUUUGAGGCUGAUAUUCCUAAUCUAUUCUUAAGGAUGGCAAUCUACCCAGUGGGCCUGCUGGGACUCCAGUUACCCGAUGCACAUACAUUGCUUGGUGGUCACAGAGGUUGGUUUGCCGAGCAACUCUGAGAACCCGUUUUUAAGUUCCCUGACUCUCCUAUUCACUGGAAUGGAAUGCCUUGCUGUCUGGGCCCUCCUUGCUUCACCUUCCAAUGAACUGAAAUCAUCACACUGAUCGUAUUGUAGCGGAGAGUGGUGUGUUAAAACCAUAACCAUAACCCCCAGUCUUGAGACCAGCCUCAGCUCUGUCGCUUUCUUAUCUCUUCAGAUGCAGCAGAUAGUUACCUCUAACUUUUAGUUUGCCUCAGACAUUAAGAAUAAAAUCAUAUUCAGCAUAAUUUAGGUGUCAUUGUCCACAUUCCACUGGUGCUAACAAACAUUUUUAUAUUGUUCCCAUGUGUCAACAGUAGCAAUCUGUGGCUCAUUAUAAGUGACAGCAAAUGUCAACAAGCCUGCCUCCUGGAGAUUUGUUUGUAAAGAUUCCUUAUCAGUUGUUGUGAUUUAUACCCCUGGCUUCUAUCGUCAUUGAUUAUUCUAUAUAUUUUCCUCCUUCAAGUGAAUGUACAAAGAGACUAAGAAAACCUCAGUCAAACUUGGAAAUUUCCUUUGUAAUAUUCUUUUUAAAGUUAGUUAGUUAUGGUAAGUUCCUUAUUAUCUAUCUGUUAAGAAUUGGGAUGCUGAGCUUGGUUUGAUUUUCUGGUUAACAAGAAUAUUAGCCAAUCAUCAAGAAUAUAAAAGGAAACACUGGUUAGCAAAGAAUUAGAAUUACAAAAGCAAUGAAUUCAUACCUAAGCCCUUGAAGGUUACACUGGUUUCGAUUCAUAAAGUGCAUGCUUCUGGUGUCCAAGUGCAAUAUUCCAAACAUCAAUUAUCACUGUACAUUGGUUUAUUAAAUAUUUUCUGAUUGAUUUGCUUUAUCUAGAUUCUACAUAAUGCUUUGUACUAAACUAUGAAUACUUUCCAUUUAUGGAAAAAUGUCCAGCUUGAGAUCACAGAGCAAUUGAAGAUUAUCUUUCAGAGACUUAUUUUUCUCCUUAAACUUUUGUUUCCUUGAUUUGGCAAACAAAGCUAGUCACUUUCUGUCACAUUUCUUUUCUUUUCUUUUCUUUUUUUUUUUUUUUUUUUGAUACAGUGUCUUGCUCUGUUGCCCAGGCUGGAGCACAGUGGUGCGAUCUUGGCUCACUGCAACCUCCGCCUCCCGGGUUCAAGCAAUUCUCCUGCCUCAGCCUCCCGAGUAGCUGGGACUACAGGUGUCCACCACCACACUCGGCUAAUUUUUGUACAUUUAGUACAGACGGGGUUUCACCAUAUUGACCAGGCUGGUCUCAAACUCCUAACCUUGUGAUCCGCGCCCACCUUGGCCUCCCAAAGUGCUGGGAUUACAGGCGUGAGCCACCACGCCUGGCCUGUCACAAAAUUUCUAUCCCAUCUUAUUCUAUCCCAUGUCAUCCACUGCCAUUGUACCACCAAACUCUACAUUGCCCUCUCUCAGAAUGUCCUCCUGUUCCUUGGAGAUAGCACUGUACUGCUGUUACCAUAGAUGCAACCCUCAGGCUUCAUGCCUGCAUGGCUUCUGCACCUGGGUACGUCCUGGAGAUCUUUGCAGCCACCUAAACAGACACGCUACCCUCUGUUCCAGCACUCUGUACUUGGUUCUUAUCUUGCCGGGUAUGUGUUAGUCUGUGUUUCAUCUGUUUAUAUGUGUGUCGCUUCUAGUAAACUCUGAGUUCCUCAGCUUAAAAGUCUCAUUUUGUGCAAUUUCUUUUAAUCACCAGUAUUUGAUACAUUACUUGGACACUUAAAGAAUAAAUGAAAUAAAUGAAUGAAGCAUUUCUUCCAGUGUACAAAACAACUGAAUAAAUGAAUCAAUUAAUUAUCAAUUAACAAAUAGAAGUGCCAAGGAAGUGGUUAAAUGAUUUGCUCCUGGUUAACACAGAGCUUGGGAUGGCCACCAACUCUCACCUCAUCAUUCUAUCUACUGACUAGUUGGCCUUGAAUUUGUUAAUUUAAAAAAAUUUGAAGUUUCAAUGUUCUUGCAGCAAACUCUAACAUACAUACUUAAUGAUUAAAGGCAAGACCUCAAGGGCAGAUUGGAAA